RNAcentral lists this ribosomal RNA (451 nucleotides) under uncultured bacterium. Its description in RNAcentral is "bacterial SSU rRNA". It matches the Rfam family "Bacterial small subunit ribosomal RNA", at positions 354 to 796 of the family's 1533-position model. The record is from RNAcentral.
GUGAGGAAUUAUGCGCAAUGGGGGAAACCCUGACGCUGCGACGCCGCGUGGGUGAUGAAGGCCUUCGGGUCGUAAAACCCUAUCGAGAGGGAAGAAACGCGCGGGUGUUAACAGCACCCGCACCUGACGGUACCUCUGGAUGAAGCCCCGGCUAACUCCGUGCCAGCAGCCGCGGUAAUACGGAGGGGGCAAGCGUUGUUCGGAAUUACUGGGCGUAAAGCGCGCGCAGGCGGUCAGGUCAGUCGGAUGUGAAAGCCCUCAGCUCAACUGAGGAACUGCGUCCGAUACUGCUUGGCUUGAGUCCGGUAGGGGAUGGCGGAAUUCCCGGUGUAGCGGUGGAAUGCGUAGAUAUCGGGAGGAACACCGAUGGCGAAGGCGGCCAUCUGGGCCGGAACUGACGCUGAGGCGCGAGAGCUAGGGGAGCAAACAGGAUUAGAAACCCUUGUAGUCC